GGUAAAACCACUGACUCAAAGGAGAAUUUCUGCUCUUCUUGCCCAUUCUGUAGCCAUUUUGAUUUUUAUGUUACCAGUAAUAGUUUGAUGACAGGCUAGAAAAUGACUUCCCGGGGAAGCGAAUAUUACUCAAAGACAGAGAGAAGUGCUCUCCUCACUUAUAUGCUGGAGCCUUGAGACUGCCAUUUGGACCUCCCAUGACCACAGAUCUCUGACUCAGUCUUUAUGUAGCUAAGUAUUUACUCCCAGUCACAAAACACAAAAAGCAGCUUAACUUGCCCCAAGGCAAAAGCAUAAAUUUUCGGUUUCAUUUUUCUACCACACCCAUCCAUAGUGUGGCCAACUGUUUUGCUGGUCACAAAACGAGUUCAUCACGGCCAAGGAUUCGAGGCCCGAGGAGUGCGCAGCAGCGAAUCACAGUGCAGCAAAUCACAGUGCAGGAGCGAAUCACAGUGCAUCUGCGAGUGCGGAGCAGCGAAUCACAGUGCAUCUGCGAGUGCGGAGCAGCGAAUCCCAGUGCAUCUGCGAGUGCGGAGCAGCGAAUCCCAGUACAGCUGAGAGUGCGGAGCAGCGAAUCAUAGUGCAGCUGAGAGUGCGGAGCAGCGAAUCACAGUGCAGCUGAGAGUGCGGAGCAGCGAAUCACAGUGCAGCUGAGAGUGCGGAGCAGCGAAUCCCAGGGCAGCUGGGAGUGGUGCGCAGAAAACACAAGUGCAGCUGAAGGCAAAAACAGCAUGCCUCGGCUUAUCUCCCUCUCUUCUCCACUCCAACAUCCCCUGCUGGCUCAUAAGCACUCCAGGAACCCGAGACAAGAGUCUCCUGACUUCAGUUUCUUCAACACCACGGAACUGUUCUUGGAUUGUGCUUCGUGCCACUCACAGGUAUAUCGGAUAGGAGUGAGUUCACUUCAGAUUGUUCAUUACAAUUGGCUAUUGUUAUUUGUACACCUCUAUGGAAGAACAUGUGUGCCACGUGCUGUUUGUCCUUGUGAUUAUACACUUUGCUCAUGUGACUUCUUAGGCCUCAGAAUGUAAACUGUUUGGUUGUUCUGAAUAAAAUUGACCAUUGCAUGAGAAUUCA
Non-coding RNA from Cricetulus griseus (Chinese hamster), 1077 nucleotides. Lineage: Eukaryota; Metazoa; Chordata; Mammalia; Rodentia; Cricetidae. The record is from RefSeq and is a predicted model, not a curated record.